GCUGGCGGCACGCCUAAUACAUGCAAGUCGAACGGAGUAGCAAUACUUAGUGGCAGACGGGUGAGUAACAUGUGGGUAUCUUCCCUUUGGUGAGGAAUAACACGAGGAAACUUGUGCUAAUACCUCAUAAGUCUUUACGGAGAAAGCUUUAUGCGCCAUUGGAUGAGCCCGCACUUGAUUAGUUAGUUGGUGGGGUAAAGGCCUACCAAGACAAUGAUCAAUAGCUGAUUUGAGAGGAUGAUCAGCCACAUUGGGACUGAGACACGGCCCAAACUUCUACGGAAGGCAGCAGUAGGGAAUCUUGCACAAUGGAGGAAACUCUGAUGCAGCGAUGCCGCGUGAGUGAAGAAGGCCUUUGGGUUGUAAAGCUCUUUCGUCGGGGAAGAAAAUGACUGUACCCGAAUAAGAAGGUCCGGCUAACUUCGUGCCAGCAGCCGCGGUAAUACGAAGGGACCUAGCGUAGUUCGGAAUUACUGGGCUUAAAGAGUUCGUAGGUGGUUAAAAAAGUUGGUGGUGAAAUCCCAGAGCUUAACUCUGGAACUGCCAUCAAAACUUUUUAGCUAGAGUAUGAUAGAGGAAAGCAGAAUUUCUAGUGUAGAGGUGAAAUUCGUAGAUAUUAGAAAGAAUACCAAUUGCGAAGGCAGCUUUCUGGAUCAUUACUGACACUGAGGAACGAAAGCAUGGGUAGCGAAGAGGAUUAGAUACCCUCGUAGUCCAUGCCGUAAACGAUGUGUGUUAGACGUUGGAAAUUUAUUUUCAGUGUCGCAGCGAAAGCAAUAAACACACCGCCUGGGG
This 795-nucleotide ribosomal RNA is filed under the name uncultured Pelagibacteraceae bacterium. Its description in RNAcentral is "bacterial SSU rRNA". It matches the Rfam family "Bacterial small subunit ribosomal RNA", at positions 35 to 878 of the family's 1533-position model. The record is from RNAcentral. Lineage: Bacteria; Pseudomonadati; Pseudomonadota; Alphaproteobacteria; Candidatus Pelagibacterales; Candidatus Pelagibacteraceae.